RNAcentral lists this ribosomal RNA (411 nucleotides) under Penicillium crustosum. Its description in RNAcentral is "eukaryotic LSU rRNA". It matches the Rfam family "Eukaryotic large subunit ribosomal RNA", at positions 128 to 543 of the family's 3401-position model. The record is from RNAcentral. Lineage: Eukaryota; Fungi; Ascomycota; Eurotiomycetes; Eurotiales; Aspergillaceae.
CCUUCGGGGUCCGCAUUGUAAUUUGCAGAGGAUGCUUCGGGAGCGGUCCCCAUCUAAGUGCCCUGGAACGGGACGUCAUAGAGGGUGAGAAUCCCGUAUGGGAUGGGGUGUCCGCGCCCGUGUGAAGCUCCUUCGACGAGUCGAGUUGUUUGGGAAUGCAGCUCUAAAUGGGUGGUAAAUUUCAUCUAAAGCUAAAUAUUGGCCGGAGACCGAUAGCGCACAAGUAGAGUGAUCGAAAGAUGAAAAGCACUUUGAAAAGAGAGUUAAAAAGCACGUGAAAUUGUUGAAAGGGAAGCGCUUGCGACCAGACUCGCUCGCGGGGUUCAGCCGGCAUUCGUGCCGGUGUAUUUCCCCGCGGGCGGGCCAGCGUCGGUUUGGGCGGUCGGUCAAAGGCCCUCGGAAGGUAACGCC